AUCCAGCCGACGAGUCCCAAGCAGGACGAAAUGCACAUUCUGCAU
Molecule: non-coding RNA, 45 nt
Organism: Trichobilharzia regenti
Lineage: Eukaryota; Metazoa; Platyhelminthes; Trematoda; Strigeidida; Schistosomatidae
Source: Rfam